This is a non-coding RNA of Vicugna pacos (alpaca), 1384 nucleotides long. The record is from RefSeq and is a predicted model, not a curated record. Lineage: Eukaryota; Metazoa; Chordata; Mammalia; Artiodactyla; Camelidae.
CCUCCUUCCUGGCUACUCACUGGCUUCAUUUUGAGCCUGUGUCAUUAUCUCACGAGCACGUGCUUCCUCCCCAGCCCUAAGCUGCGAAUGUCCUUCAUCACCUACUCCACACGUGGCCACGUCCUCAUGAAUCUCACCUCAGACAAACAAGAAAUACACCCUGGGCUUACCAAACUUCAGAAGGUAGUGCCUACAGGAGACACCAACAUGCGUGAAGGAUUGAAAAAGAAAACAAGGUUGCCUCCAGGAUUAUCUCUCUGACCGAUGGAAAUCUGGAGCCACAGGCGUUUGAAGACACUAAGGAAGAAGUGAGCCCAGACCAUCGUUAACAGCUUUGUGCUCCAUGUAUUUGGUGAAUUAUAUUCGACGCUUUUUUCUCUUAGACUCAGAAGUCUAGGAAAUUGGAGGUGAUUGUAUACUGCGUGGGUGUAAAUGACUAUCAGAGAGACCAGGGAAUUCAGAACAGGUGAACCAGCUGGGGAAAGCUUCCAAGGCAGCUGUCCAGGGUCACCCCGAGGAUGGCCCUCUGCCCUGCCCAGUGCUCAGACAGCAGACAGCCACUGCAGAUGAGCAACGAGUGUUGUGUAGACCUACAGACGGAGGUGCGGGCGGGGGGCUUCCCGGUCCCUAACGAUGGGCUGCUGGCAGAUGCCAGGCGGUGGCCCUUGGGGUCUAACAUGGCAGGAGGCAGGAGCGUGUCUCCUGGGAUGGGACCUGCUGGGUCCUCAACCCCUGGCUGUGGGCCAAGCCACCUCCUCUCCCUUGCAGAUACUGGAAAUUGCAGGCAGCCCAGAUCACGUAUUUGGAGUGGACACAGGAUUCAGUGGUCUUAAAAGCAUCGUUAACUCAGUGAGUGAGGGCUGAAUGUGAGAAGCGGGAAGAGGUGGCUUUGCACCAUGCCCCCACCAUUCAUGCCCCCUGCCCCUGCCCCUCGUUCUAGCUUGCAGCUAAGUCUUAUAUUGAAAUUACAACCAUGACGCCUUCCAGUCUCUGUACAGGAGGCAAGAGCUGGAGUCGCCCUUGUAAACACAAGGGUGUGUGUUUGUGUGAGUUGUGAAUGUGCCCCGUGUGCACUGUGGGAGUGCUGCCAACACGUGGUUUCAGUACGUGUGACAUGUGUGGUGUACGUGUGGUUUGAGUGGAGUGAGUGUGUAUGGCAUGUGUAUGUGGUGUGUGUGAGUGUGGUGUCUGAGUGUGUGGUGUAGGCACAUGGGUUGGUUGUACACAAAUGUGUCGGGCAUAUGACUACAUUGGGCACAUAGGCAUGUGUUUAUGGGAGGUGUGUAUGCCAGGGCUUGUGGGGUGUGUGUUGUUAGUACUUCUUUCUUCCAGUUUUACUGAGAUGUAAUUGACAUACAGCUCUGUAUAAGGUUAAGGUGUGUCC